AAACCUGGAAGCCAGGUCCACUUUGGUAUGCACCUCUGCCAUUUGUCCCAGGUCUGAAUUCCAACAAUUAAUACCCUCUUCUUCUCCAAAAUCGCACUCUGAGUCCACCUAUUUGAUCUCUCUCCUCCCAGGAAACAAGUGGAACCUGGUCACGAGCAGAAGCCAGCUUGACAGGUUUUAGUUUCUUCUCUGUUGUAACAAGGUAUCUUGAUAAAAAGUAGCCAAGCAUGGAAAGGUUUAUCUGUCUUACAAGUCCAUGUUGCCACCAGCCAUCACAGAGAGGAAGUCACCGCAAGAACUCACUCAAGAGCAGAGGAUGUAGCUCUCAGCAACUGUUCCAGCACCAUGCUUGCAACCAUGCUCCCUGUCAUAAUGCUACUGAAACUGAUGGACUAACCUUCUGAAACUAUGUGAAGAUGCUGUCAGCUGGAGAAGCUGUUUGUUUUUCACUCUUGGCAUUAAGAACCCAUGCUGAGCAGGCUCUGGUAUCCACCACUGUGCCACAUCCCCCGUCUCUAAAAACAAUUCCAUUUUCCCGGAGGCAGCGAGGCAUCUAUCUGAGAGGAUUCGGAGUCCAAAAGCUUGCUCUGGCCUGAGCUGCUGACUGCAGACCCACCUCUCCAACUGUGAACCCCCAACACCAAACCCUGCUGUGUUCCUGACCCGUUAAUCCUUUCCUAGGGAACCCGCUAUUCUGAACAUGUUAAAUCAGAACCCUCUGCCCUCCACGUUCAUACCUCAAACCCCCUGCUUUUCACCUUCUUCCUGGAGAUGACCUGAAACACCAAGGCCUGUUAGUUUUA
Molecule: long non-coding RNA, 803 nt
Organism: Mus musculus (house mouse)
Lineage: Eukaryota; Metazoa; Chordata; Mammalia; Rodentia; Muridae
Product: predicted gene, 46836
Exons: 4
Source: RefSeq, a predicted model, not a curated record